AGAGAGGAGAGUAAAGAGUAAGACAGUCGGACAUAAGGGGGGGGGAGGGUUGGUUGGUUCGACCACCCCCAGAUGCGACCCGCUAGGACACGGCUACCUGACCUCGUAUAUUUAGCAC
Molecule: non-coding RNA, 118 nt
Organism: Caenorhabditis elegans
Lineage: Eukaryota; Metazoa; Nematoda; Chromadorea; Rhabditida; Rhabditidae
Source: Ensembl